This 300-nucleotide ribosomal RNA is filed under the name uncultured Pyrobaculum sp. Its description in RNAcentral is "partial 16S ribosomal RNA". The stretch from base 52 to 300 matches the Rfam family "Bacterial small subunit ribosomal RNA", at positions 547 to 795 of the family's 1533-position model. Lineage: Archaea; Thermoproteati; Thermoproteota; Thermoprotei; Thermoproteales; Thermoproteaceae. The record is from RNAcentral.
GGAAAGGGGGGAAGGGGGGGCGGGGUAAUAAGUAGGGGGAGAGCGGUACGAGGAAGUAUGGGGCGUAAAGGGUGGGUAGGGGGUGUGUGAAGUUCGUGGUGAAAGCCCCGGGGUGAACCGGGGAAUGGCAGUGGAUACUGGGAGGCUGGAGGGCGGUAGAGGGUAGUGGAAUUCCCGGGGUAGCGGUGAAAUGCGUAGAGAUCGGGAGGAACACCAGUGGCGAAGGUGACUACCUGGACCAGCACUGACACUGAGGCACGAAAGCGUGGGGAGCAAACAGGAUUAGAUACCCGAGUAGUC